AGCUCCAAUAGUGUAUAUUAAUGUUGUUGUGGUUAAAAAGCUCGUAGUUGGAUUUCGGCGGGUAUUGGCUGGUUCGAAUUGAUUCGAUACUGGCUUUUUUACCCGUGUGUUUUGCCAGAAUCUGACGGGUGAUCUUUACCGAUUGUCCGGCGGAACUGGUAGGUUUACUUUGAAAAAAUUAGAGUGCUCAAAGCAAGCUUGAUUGCUUGAAUAUUCGUGCAUGGAAUAAUAGAAUAGGAGGUCGUUUCUAUUUUGUUGGUUUUCGGAAAUCGACUUAAUGAUUAAUAGGGAUAGUCGGGGGCAUUUGUAUUCAAACGACAGAGGUGAAAUUCUUGGACCGUUUGAAGACAAACUUCUGCGAAAGCAUUUGCCAAGAAUGUUUUCA
Molecule: ribosomal RNA, 385 nt
Filed under: marine copepod environmental sample
Lineage: Eukaryota; Metazoa; Arthropoda; Copepoda
Description: SSU rRNA
Rfam family: Eukaryotic small subunit ribosomal RNA
Source: RNAcentral